RNAcentral lists this non-coding RNA (785 nucleotides) under Lumbricus terrestris (common earthworm). Lineage: Eukaryota; Metazoa; Annelida; Clitellata; Crassiclitellata; Lumbricidae. The record is from RNAcentral.
UCAGUUUGAUUCUGGCUGACAAUUUAGCUCUCUUAAACUAAUAUACAUGUAAGUCUAAGCUACCCCGCACCACAUAUAAACCCUAAAUGGAGAAUAACUAUAUUAGACAUAUCUCAUAUGGUAAAGCGUCACAGUAAGAAAAUCUACCUUAUUGCAAAAGCAAGAGCUGGUUAUUAAGAUCAGAGUUGGCAAUAUUCGUGCCAGCUGCCGCGGUUAGACGAUAAACUCAAGCUAAUUCAUAUAAGACUAAUUGCAAGGCGAUCUAAAAAAUAACUCAAAGUCUAAUUUAUAUAAUCCGAGACCCGUAAACGCCUAUUUACCGUAAAACCAUAGACUAAAACACGGAUUAGAUACCCGUCUAUUUAUGGAGUAACUAAAGUCGAAAAAUACGAACUACAGUUUAAAACUUAAAGAUUUUGGCGGUGUCUUAUCAACCCAGGGGAACCUGUCUCAUAACUCGAUAACCCACGACACUCUCACCCUCCCUAGACUAAACAGCUUGUGUACUGCCGUCGUAAGCACACCUCUAAAAGCCAAGGAAGUGUGCAAUAAUGAUUGUCUCACCCACGUCAGGUCAAAGUGCAGCCCAUGGACGGAGAUGAUGGGUUACACCUAAACAAAGAUACGGAAUACAGCAUUAAGAGCUGUGUAAAGGAGGACUUGAGUGUAACAGUAUUACAAAAUUAAAGUGAAUCUGAAUCUAAGACAUGCACACAUCGCCCGUCACUCUCGCCUAAAGGCGAGAUAAGUCGUAACAAAGUAGGUGUAACGGAAGUUGCCCCUGU